Molecule: long non-coding RNA, 654 nt
Filed under: Anser cygnoides (Swan goose)
Lineage: Eukaryota; Metazoa; Chordata; Aves; Anseriformes; Anatidae
Description: lncRNA (ENSACDG00005014649.1)
Source: RNAcentral
AUGGGACUCCUCUUCAGCUGCGUUGAAUCGGCAGAGCUCCUCGAUGUGGCAAGGUGCUCCUGCUCAGCCCCCGGGGGAAGAUGCUCCUUCCUCAAACUGGUGGAUGAGGAUGCAGUUGGGGUCAAUACAAGCAACUUCAGAGGAAGUCACUGCUUGAUUAUAAGACUACGGCUUUGGACUGCAGAGGACAGAGUGUGCGAGGAAAACGAGCACUUCUGGGCCAUCCGCAAGCAGCGGACACCCUCUGAAUAUCAUAUGGGAGAGCCUGGGAGCGUGGGUCCAAACCUCCCCGGAGCACGAAGGGGCCGAGAAGAGGACGGAUCGACCGGCAUGCUGCCUGUGCGGCACUACCAGGGGGGGAAAAUUAGCAGGAGGAGAUCAGAGGAAGAUAAGCGAGGAGCGAGCCGCUUCCCCGAGACCUUCCACUGCGGAUCCGCGAGGGAACAUCAGACGCGUUAAAAAAACCAAAACAAACCCAAACACGGCGUUCAAGCCAGCACAAGGCGAGCGAAAGAUCAAAAAGACGCGGAGAGAGAGAAAGGCAGAGAGGGAGACAGAUUAACUGGAGCGGCAGCGGCAGCAACAACAACAACAAAAAUCACACUUAAAAUCAUAAUAACAAUAACAACAAUAAUAAACCCCAAACCACCGGCA